RNAcentral lists this RNase P RNA (342 nucleotides) under Gammaproteobacteria bacterium CG_4_10_14_0_2_um_filter_38_22. Its description in RNAcentral is "RNase P RNA component class A". It matches the Rfam family "Bacterial RNase P class A". From Rfam's summary of the family: Ribonuclease P (RNase P) is a ubiquitous endoribonuclease, found in archaea, bacteria and eukarya as well as chloroplasts and mitochondria. Its best characterised activity is the generation of mature 5'-ends of tRNAs by cleaving the 5'-leader elements of precursor-tRNAs. Lineage: Bacteria; Pseudomonadati; Pseudomonadota; Gammaproteobacteria. The record is from RNAcentral. RNAcentral also lists the same sequence under 2 other names.
CGAGUCAGCCAGGCAGUCGCUGUACGGUUUUCUGUACAGAGGAAAGUCCGGGCUUCAUAGAACGCAGCGCCAGAUAACAUCUGGGCAACGUGAGUUGACGGAAAGUGCCACAGAAAAUAUACCGCUGUUGUAAAACAGUAAGGGUGAAAAGGUGCGGUAAGAGCGCACCGCGUGAUUAGUAAUAAUCAUGGCAGGGUAAACCCCGCUGGAAGCAAGACCAAAUACAGAUUCCAUGAUGCUGUUCGCAUCGAAUCAGGGUAGGUUGCUUGAGGUGAAUGGCGACAUUCAUCCUAGACAGAUGAUUGCUCAUGACAAAACCCGGCUUAUCGGCUGACUCAACUU